GGCUAGGUGGCGGAGUGGUUAACGCGGUAGACUCGAAAAUUCCUGCAAUUUAAUCAGGAGUUUCUAGUUAUCUACUUCCUUCGGGAGCGUCUGUUCGAAUCAGGCCCUAGUCG
RNAcentral lists this transfer RNA (113 nucleotides) under Xylaria curta. Its description in RNAcentral is "tRNA-Ser". It matches the Rfam family "tRNA". Rfam says of the family: Transfer RNA (tRNA) molecules are approximately 80 nucleotides in length. Their secondary structure includes four short double-helical elements and three loops (D, anti-codon, and T loops). Further hydrogen bonds mediate the characteristic L-shaped molecular structure. tRNAs have two regions of fundamental functional importance: the anti-codon, which is responsible for specific mRNA codon recognition, and the 3' end, to which the tRNAs corresponding amino acid is attached (by aminoacyl-tRNA synthetases). tRNAs cope with the degeneracy of the genetic code in two manners: having more than one tRNA (with a specific anti-codon) for a particular amino acid; and 'wobble' base-pairing, i.e. permitting non-standard base-pairing at the 3rd anti-codon position. Lineage: Eukaryota; Fungi; Ascomycota; Sordariomycetes; Xylariales; Xylariaceae. The record is from RNAcentral.